GACGAACGCUGGCGGCGUGCUUAACACAUGCAAGUCGAACGGAAAGGCCCUGCUUUUGUGGGGUGCUCGAGUGGCGAACGGGUGAGUAACACGUGAGUAACCUGCCCUUGACUUUGGGAUAACUUCAGGAAACUGGGGCUAAUACCGGAUAGGAGCUCCUGCUGCAUGGUGGGGGUUGGAAAGUUUCGGCGGUUGGGGAUGGACUCGCGGCUUAUCAGCUUGUUGGUGGGGUAGUGGCUUACCAAGGCUUUGACGGGUAGCCGGCCUGAGAGGGUGACCGGCCACAUUGGGAAUGGGAAUCGGCCCAGACUCCUACGGGAGGCAGGAGGGGGGAAUAUUGCACAAUGGGCCGAAGCCUGAUGCAGCAACGCCGCGGGCGGGAUGACGGCCUUCGGGUUGUAAACCGCUUUCGGCUGUGACGAAGCGUGAGUGACGGUAAUGGGUAAAGAAGCACCGGCUAACUACGUG
Molecule: ribosomal RNA, 468 nt
Filed under: uncultured bacterium
Lineage: Bacteria
Description: partial 16S ribosomal RNA
Rfam family: Bacterial small subunit ribosomal RNA
Source: RNAcentral